CUGCUGCCUCCCGUAGGAGUCUGGGCCGUGUCUCAGUCCCAGUGUGGCCGAUUAACCUCUCAGUUCGGCUACGCAUCGUUGCCUUGGUAGGCCAUUACCCCACCAACUAGCUAAUACGCCGCAGGCCCAUCUCUAAGCGAUGCUUUAAAGGCAUCUUUGCUCCGUAGAGUAUAUUCGGUAUUAGCAAUCGUUUCCAACUGUUAUCCCCAACUUAGAGGCAGGUAACCCACGUGUUACUCACCCGUUUGCCA
Molecule: ribosomal RNA, 251 nt
Filed under: uncultured bacterium
Lineage: Bacteria
Description: partial 16S ribosomal RNA
Source: RNAcentral